UACGUAGGGGGCAAGCGUUGUCCGGAAUUAUUGGGCGUAAAGAGCGUGUAGGCGGUCCGGUAAGUCGGCUGUGAAAGUCAAGGGCUCAACCCUUGAAUGCCGGUUGAUACUGUCGGGCUAGAGUGCGGAAGAGGCGAGUGGAAUUCCUGGUGUAGCGGUGAAAUGCGCAGAUAUCAGGAGGAACACCAAUUGCGAAGGCAGCUCGCUGGGACGUUACUGACGCUGAGACGCGAAAGCGUGGGGAGCAAACAGG
Molecule: ribosomal RNA, 253 nt
Filed under: uncultured bacterium
Lineage: Bacteria
Description: partial 16S ribosomal RNA
Rfam family: Bacterial small subunit ribosomal RNA
Source: RNAcentral